RNAcentral lists this microRNA precursor (98 nucleotides) under Otolemur garnettii (small-eared galago). Its description in RNAcentral is "miRNA (ENSOGAG00000028526.1)". Lineage: Eukaryota; Metazoa; Chordata; Mammalia; Primates; Galagidae. The record is from RNAcentral.
UGAGGUGGGAGGAUUACUUGAACCCAGGAACUGGAGGCUACAAUGAGCUGACUGGGCCACUGUACUCCAGCCUGGGUGACAAAGUGAGACCUAAUCUC